CCUCCGACCUGAAUCCCUCAGAGAAUCUCCAAGUUAUUGUGAAGAAAAAGAUGAGAAACACCCAACCAAAAACUACUGAAGGCCACUAUUAGAGCAACCUGGGCUUCAGUAACACCUCAGCAGGGCCACAGGCUGAUUGCCUCCUUGCCGUGCUGCAUAGAAGUAAUUUGUGUCAAAGGAGCUCCAACCAAGUUAUGAGAAUAAAAAUGAAAAUCGAAAUGAUCUGAAAUAUUCUAAUUUGAGCAUUUCUGAUUUUCAUAAGCUACAUCUAAGCCAAAAUCCUCAAAAUCAAAAAGGGUUGAAAUAGUUCAAUUUGCUUGUAAGGAAUAAGAAAUAUGUGAAAGUUUGAAUUAAAUUUUGAAAGAAAUACCUUUUUUUUUUUUUUUUUACAAUGUAUGAUUUUCUUUUAAACACAAACAUUUCUGUCAAUGUUUGUUUUAGCAUGUAGCUAAAAUAUAACCAAACACUGACACUAACACUUACAUUGCCUUUGAGAACUAAUGCCUUUUAACAAAGUGAAGCAUUGUCCUACUAAACUUAAUCGUAAGAAAAUCAGCUGAAGCUACCUACUAACCUACACACUGUCCCUGACCGUGUUAUUAAGACAGCUCAGACUGAUGUCAAACUGUUCUACUUUUCUCUAAAGGACUUUGCUCUUCUUUUUAUUUCCAUGUAUUUAUACAAUGUCAUGCAACCUUGGGUUAAACGUGAGUUUCACUUUCAAGGUGAAACAAAAAAUGACCUUAAAUAUGUCUUCAUCCCAGUUCACCCAAAGCAAAUAUGACUUGGUUACAUUCACAUGUGUCUUAGCUUCAACAUUACACUCAGAUUGCACUCUUUCUGAACACACCCUAGGACUAUUGCCAUCAGCCUUUAAUAGGAUCAUACUUCUUUAAAUGGCUGAGGCCACUGGCUUCAUUCAGUGCUGCAGUGAUACUCUAAUCUGCAGUAUCUAUCCUGCUAUACCUAAGGGGGCUUCCUGACCCCACACAUUGCAUCAAAUCCCAGUUGACACAGAGCAUUAGGUUAGCCAGUAAUGAUUUGUCACUCCAAUCCUCUCCUUAGCAGAAGCUGGCCAAGAACUAGAUGGCCCAGUCUUG
Astatotilapia calliptera (eastern happy) is the source of this 1100-nucleotide long non-coding RNA. The record is from Ensembl. Lineage: Eukaryota; Metazoa; Chordata; Actinopteri; Cichliformes; Cichlidae.